GAAAGGCUGCCAACUUGCAUGUGAGAGAACAGCAGCUUAGGGAAGGUAAACAAGUCGCUCAAGUUCACAGUGAUGAGUAGUGGAGCCCAAGCUUCCAGUACCCUUACACUCUCCCAUUUUGUUCUUCUGCCUUUAAUGUAUUGAGCACAACAACUGAACUUUGAACUAGUAUCAAAAGAUGAGUAUGAUGGUUCCAAGAAGAGGAAAGAGAAUGGGCACUUUGCUCUAAGUAGGGGAAUAGCUGUAGUGGAAGGGAUUUUGUUCAAAGGAGAGCAGGGAUAUUAUGCCUUGAGCAUAUAAUGUGAUGAUGCUGCAAAAUGAGACUGCAAGAGAUACUUGAGCCCCCUUUGUUCCAGAUCUUAUUUGCUUAGGAGUUUUGAUUAGAUCCUAAAGGCAUUGGCUAGUCAACGGAGACUUGCAUUUGAUAAUGGGAACUCAGAUGUCAAUGUGGAGGGUGAAUUGAAUGCAUACUAAGCAACAGUUUCUAACAAUCCAGACAAGAGGUGAUGCCAGACUGAACUAAGGCAGGAGCUAUGAAAGUAAUAAAGAUAUGGGCCUUCAAGGGGUGAAAGAAAUUUGCUCUCCUCUCCGAGGCCCAGAGGUGCAAGCACUUCAACAGAUAAUUUGGUAUGUGCAAAAAUGGGAAUGGUCAGCGAAGGAAUACUGUCCUGAGUUUUUCACACAUCAGUAAUGUUUCCUGCUGUGGGAUCUUCUUUACCAAUCCAGAUGGGGAAUCAUCAUUUGUGGACUUCAGAGGAAAAGGGAAUGACACCAGGCAAGGAUCAAACAGAAGCACAGAUGGGGGAUAUCAUCUAACUGGAAUCCUGAACAAAAAGCUCCUGCUUUUUUAUGGACUUGUGGGGCCACAGGAAGUAAGAAGGGCGAAAGGGCUUAACGUGAAAAGAUACUGAGUCAAAGUGGAGAAAACUGCCUUGGUCAAGGUCUUGAUGGCAGUGCUUGAACAGUGUCUCAGCAAAAGUCCCCCAUAAAGAGACCUCCAUAAAGAGGUUCCUAGGCUGGGAAUGCAGAUAUGCGUAUCAGCAUGGCCGGCUCAAAAGGGGCCUGAGUCCUUGACUGCCACUCCCUCCAGAUGCACUGGCUAUGUACCAACUCUGGUGUGAGGAGGGCAGCUUCCACCAUGAGGCCUGCCAGGCAAAGCCUUGUAAUUGCCUGUGCCCAAAACUGACAGAUUACACACAGGAUUAUUGUCCUGGAGCCACACUCCCCAAGGUGAAUCCAGGAGACUCCAGAUCUGGUAGUCAAUUGAGGUGGAUUUAACUGUCCAGCAUGCCAAUCUGACAAAGCCAUAAACUGUGAAUAGAGGGCAUAAAGGAAAUUUUUUGGUAAUGUCAUUCAAUUCCUAAAAGUUGGCAGUCUUGAUUUUACAUAACUGAGAAUCCCAAAACCAAAGAUUAGACCUAGGGCUUAGAGAAAGAAGACUCUGGAAUUUUUCUUCUUGUCCCAACUUCACUGGUUUCCCGUUUAUCUGUAAAAUCCAGCUUUGAGAAGAGGAGGGGAAGGGAAAGGAGUGGUGCUCUGAAAAAAAUUGACCUUCCUCAGUCCUGUGGGCACUCACUGUGUCAGUCUUCAUCACAGAGAAAGUACACGUGAGCACAUAUUGUGUAAUUUCAGAGCAUUGGCAAGAGUCUCCCUAUGUGGCCUGGAUGCAACUUAUAUCUCAGAUGUCUCUUAAAUUUGUUCCCUAAUUUCCAUUCUCACUGCCUUUCACUUUAUUUUAGUUUAUUGUUUAUCGUAAUAGACUUCUGACUACUGUCCCUGCUUUUGGUUUAUUUUUUCCCACUGGAAUAUCUAGUAAGCAAUAAGGGACACAGAACUGAAGCCUCUUUGGAAGUUAUUUCUGUAGAGUUGGUAAUUGAAACCCAUGGGAAUGAAGAAACUCUCCUGGACAGUGAUGAAGGAUUAAAAAACAACCACAAAUCUCUUCCACUAAUGAAUUCGGGAAAGAGCACACACCCAUUUUUUUUCACUUAUUCAAUAAAUAAUUAUUAAUAA
This is a long non-coding RNA of Felis catus (domestic cat), 2013 nucleotides long. RefSeq lists it as uncharacterized. The transcript is spliced from 2 exons. The record is from RefSeq and is a predicted model, not a curated record. Lineage: Eukaryota; Metazoa; Chordata; Mammalia; Carnivora; Felidae.